UACGGAGGGUGCAAGCGUUAUCCGGAUUCACUGGGUUUAAAGGGUGCGUAGGCGGGCAGGUAAGUCCGUGGUGAAAUCUCUGAGCUUAACUCAGAAACUGCCAUGGAUACUAUUUGUCUUGAAUAUUGUGGAGGUAAGCGGAAUAUGUCAUGUAGCGGUGAAAUGCUUAGAUAUGACAUAGAACACCAAUUGCGAAGGCAGCUUACUACACAGUUAUUGGCGCUGAGGCACGAAAGCGUGGGGAUCAAACAGG
Molecule: ribosomal RNA, 253 nt
Filed under: uncultured bacterium
Lineage: Bacteria
Description: partial 16S ribosomal RNA
Rfam family: Bacterial small subunit ribosomal RNA
Source: RNAcentral